UGGGGGAUAUUGCACAAUGGAGGAAACUCUGAUGCAGCGACGCCGCGUGAGGGAAGACGGUCUUCGGAUUGUAAACCUCUGUCUUUAGGGACGAAAAAAUGACGGUACCUAAGGAGGAAGCCACGGCUAACUACGUGCCAGCAGCCGCGGUAAUACGUAGGUGGCAAGCGUUGUCCGGAAUUACUGGGUGUAAAGGGAGCGUAGGCGGGGAGACAAGUUGAAUGUUUAAACUAUCGGCUUAACUGAUAGUCGCGUUCAAAACUAUCACUCUUGAGUGCAGUAGAGGUAGGCGGAAUUCCUAGUGUAGCGGUGAAAUGCGUAGAUAUUAGGAGGAACACCAGUGGCGAAGGCGGCCUACUGGGCUGUAACUGACGCUGAGGCUCGAAAGCGUGGGUAGCAAACA
This 403-nucleotide ribosomal RNA is filed under the name uncultured bacterium. RNAcentral's name for it is "bacterial SSU rRNA". It matches the Rfam family "Bacterial small subunit ribosomal RNA", at positions 355 to 774 of the family's 1533-position model. The record is from RNAcentral.